GAUGAACGCUGGCGGCGUGCCUAAUACAUGCAAGUCGAGCGAACGGACGAGAAGCUUGCUUCUCUGACGUUAGCGGCGGACGGGUGAGUAACACGUGGAUAACCCACCUAUAAGACUGGGAUAACUUCGGGAAACCGUAGCUAAUACCGGAUAAUCUUUUGAACCGCAUGGUUGAAAAGUGAAAGACGGUCUUGCUGUCACUUAUAGAUGGAUCCGGGCUUCAUUAGGUAGUUGGUAAGGUAACGGCUUACCAAGGCAACGAUGCAUAGCCGAAGUGAGAGGGUGAUAGGCCACACUGGAACUGAGACACGGUCAAGACUCCUACGGGAGGCAGCAGUAGGGAAUCUUCCGCAAUGGGCGAAAGCCUGACGGAGCAACGCCGCGUGAGUGAUGAAGGUCUUCGGAUCGUAAAGCUCUGUUAUUAGGGAAGAACAUAUGUGUAAGUAACUGUGCACAUCUUGACGGUACCUGAUCAAAAAGCCACGGCUAACUACGUG
This 497-nucleotide ribosomal RNA is filed under the name uncultured bacterium. RNAcentral's name for it is "partial 16S ribosomal RNA". It matches the Rfam family "Bacterial small subunit ribosomal RNA", at positions 28 to 507 of the family's 1533-position model. The record is from RNAcentral.